Molecule: ribosomal RNA, 2921 nt
Filed under: Staphylococcus aureus
Lineage: Bacteria; Bacillati; Bacillota; Bacilli; Caryophanales; Staphylococcaceae
Description: bacterial LSU rRNA
Rfam family: Bacterial large subunit ribosomal RNA
Source: RNAcentral
UUAAGUUAUUAAGGGCGCACGGUGGAUGCCUUGGCACUAGAAGCCGAUGAAGGACGUCACUAACGACGAUAUGCUUUGGGGAGCUGUAAGUAAGCUUUGAUCCAGAGAUUUCCGAAUGGGGAAACCCAGCAUGAGUUAUGUCAUGUUAUCGAUAUGUGAAUACAUAGCAUAUCAGAAGGCACACCCGGAGAACUGAAACAUCUUAGUACCCGGAGGAAGAGAAAGAAAAUUCGAUUCCCUUAGUAGCGGCGAGCGAAACGGGAAGAGCCCAAACCAACAAGCUUGCUUGUUGGGGUUGUAGGACACUCUAUACGGAGUUACAAAGGACGACAUUAGACGAAUCAUCUGGAAAGAUGAAUCAAAGAAGGUAAUAAUCCUGUAGUCGAAAAUGUUGUCUCUCUUGAGUGGAUCCUGAGUACGACGGAGCACGUGAAAUUCCGUCGGAAUCUGGGAGGACCAUCUCCUAAGGCUAAAUACUCUCUAGUGACCGAUAGUGAACCAGUACCGUGAGGGAAAGGUGAAAAGCACCCCGGAAGGGGAGUGAAAUAGAACCUGAAACCGUGUGCUUACAAGUAGUCAGAGCCCGUUAAUGGGUGAUGGCGUGCCUUUUGUAGAAUGAACCGGCGAGUUACGAUUUGAUGCAAGGUUAAGCAGUAAAUGUGGAGCCGUAGCGAAAGCGAGUCUGAAUAGGGCGUUUAGUAUUUGGUCGUAGACCCGAAACCAGGUGAUCUACCCUUGGUCAGGUUGAAGUUCAGGUAACACUGAAUGGAGGACCGAACCGACUUACGUUGAAAAGUGAGCGGAUGAACUGAGGGUAGCGGAGAAAUUCCAAUCGAACCUGGAGAUAGCUGGUUCUCUCCGAAAUAGCUUUAGGGCUAGCCUCAAGUGAUGAUUAUUGGAGGUAGAGCACUGUUUGGACGAGGGGCCCCUCUCGGGUUACCGAAUUCAGACAAACUCCGAAUGCCAAUUAAUUUAACUUGGGAGUCAGAACAUGGGUGAUAAGGUCCGUGUUCGAAAGGGAAACAGCCCAGACCACCAGCUAAGGUCCCAAAAUAUAUGUUAAGUGGAAAAGGAUGUGGCGUUGCCCAGACAACUAGGAUGUUGGCUUAGAAGCAGCCAUCAUUUAAAGAGUGCGUAAUAGCUCACUAGUCGAGUGACACUGCGCCGAAAAUGUACCGGGGCUAAACAUAUUACCGAAGCUGUGGAUUGUCCUUUGGACAAUGGUAGGAGAGCGUUCUAAGGGCGUUGAAGCAUGAUCGUAAGGACAUGUGGAGCGCUUAGAAGUGAGAAUGCCGGUGUGAGUAGCGAAAGACGGGUGAGAAUCCCGUCCACCGAUUGACUAAGGUUUCCAGAGGAAGGCUCGUCCGCUCUGGGUUAGUCGGGUCCUAAGCUGAGGCCGACAGGCGUAGGCGAUGGAUAACAGGUUGAUAUUCCUGUACCACCUAUAAUCGUUUUAAUCGAUGGGGGGACGCAGUAGGAUAGGCGAAGCGUGCGAUUGGAUUGCACGUCUAAGCAGUAAGGCUGAGUAUUAGGCAAAUCCGGUACUCGUUAAGGCUGAGCUGUGAUGGGGAGAAGACAUUGUGUCUUCGAGUCGUUGAUUUCACACUGCCGAGAAAAGCCUCUAGAUAGAAAAUAGGUGCCCGUACCGCAAACCGACACAGGUAGUCAAGAUGAGAAUUCUAAGGUGAGCGAGCGAACUCUCGUUAAGGAACUCGGCAAAAUGACCCCGUAACUUCGGGAGAAGGGGUGCUCUUUAGGGUUAACGCCCAGAAGAGCCGCAGUGAAUAGGCCCAAGCGACUGUUUAUCAAAAACACAGGUCUCUGCUAAACCGUAAGGUGAUGUAUAGGGGCUGACGCCUGCCCGGUGCUGGAAGGUUAAGAGGAGUGGUUAGCUUCUGCGAAGCUACGAAUCGAAGCCCCAGUAAACGGCGGCCGUAACUAUAACGGUCCUAAGGUAGCGAAAUUCCUUGUCGGGUAAGUUCCGACCCGCACGAAAGGCGUAACGAUUUGGGCACUGUCUCAACGAGAGACUCGGUGAAAUCAUAGUACCUGUGAAGAUGCAGGUUACCCGCGACAGGACGGAAAGACCCCGUGGAGCUUUACUGUAGCCUGAUAUUGAAAUUCGGCACAGCUUGUACAGGAUAGGUAGGAGCCUUUGAAACGUGAGCGCUAGCUUACGUGGAGGCGCUGGUGGGAUACUACCCUAGCUGUGUUGGCUUUCUAACCCGCACCACUUAUCGUGGUGGGAGACAGUGUCAGGCGGGCAGUUUGACUGGGGCGGUCGCCUCCUAAAAGGUAACGGAGGCGCUCAAAGGUUCCCUCAGAAUGGUUGGAAAUCAUUCAUAGAGUGUAAAGGCAUAAGGGAGCUUGACUGCGAGACCUACAAGUCGAGCAGGGUCGAAAGACGGACUUAGUGAUCCGGUGGUUCCGCAUGGAAGGGCCAUCGCUCAACGGAUAAAAGCUACCCCGGGGAUAACAGGCUUAUCUCCCCCAAGAGUUCACAUCGACGGGGAGGUUUGGCACCUCGAUGUCGGCUCAUCGCAUCCUGGGGCUGUAGUCGGUCCCAAGGGUUGGGCUGUUCGCCCAUUAAAGCGGUACGCGAGCUGGGUUCAGAACGUCGUGAGACAGUUCGGUCCCUAUCCGUCGUGGGCGUAGGAAAUUUGAGAGGAGCUGUCCUUAGUACGAGAGGACCGGGAUGGACAUACCUCUGGUGUACCAGUUGUCGUGCCAACGGCAUAGCUGGGUAGCUAUGUGUGGACGGGAUAAGUGCUGAAAGCAUCUAAGCAUGAAGCCCCCCUCAAGAUGAGAUUUCCCAACUUCGGUUAUAAGAUCCCUCAAAGAUGAUGAGGUUAAUAGGUUCGAGGUGGAAGCAUGGUGACAUGUGGAGCUGACGAAUACUAAUCGAUCGAAGACUUAAUCAA